UCUGGGGUUCGAGGCGCCAGGCUCCGUCCGUCUCUCUCAAAGGCAAGCAGUGAUGUUGCUUCAAUAGAGAGAGGAGGGAAAUCGAUCAGUUGGGUGGGAUCCAGGUUUGUCUGAUCAUCAUCAUCAUCAUCAUCAUCCUUUUUGAACUGUCAUUAGUCCAUUUUUUGUACAUAAGAAAAUACCAUUAGGCCACUGCUUCAACAAGACAAGUGGUUAGGUAAAAUAAAUAUUAUUUGUAAUUGUUCAUUUUUCCUUGUCUCUGGGUGUUGGUUCAUCACCAGAGGCUUCCUCUCCAAUCAGAUCCAGAUGUUUCACUAACAGAGGCCUGUUCUUUCCACACCUUUAUCAGUGCUAAUGCCAGAACCACCAACACAUUUGGAUCCGUCCUCAACAAAUUAUCUAACGUGGGAGAAAAAUGUCUAUUUUUUCUUUAACACAAUGGACCCUACAAUACGAGAGAUGUUUUUUGUGUGUGAACUGAAAGAACUUAAGUUGACUUGAGCCACACAUUUUUGAAAUCCAUCAAAUCACACAACAUUUCUUCUCUCAUCAUUAUUUUUGGGGGGUCUUUAUAAAUUGAGCUCUUCUCCAUUUCUUCAUAGUAUUUUAACUGCCAUGAACAACUUUCUCAACAUUUGUAUGUGUGGGAAUUUCCAAGGUGAAGACGAAACUUAUCCACAUCAGGCAUUGAUUUGGUUUAGUUUGUUUUUUUGUUACUGAUCUCUGUUUCUGGAAAUAACUUUUAAAAAAUCCUUCUUAAAUGUUUCCUGAAAUGCCCUGACUUUAUCUUACCCUACAGCGCCAAACACAUUAUUUCUGACACAAAUAUUUCUAAUGCCUUUACUGCAUCUAUUCCUCAGAAAUCUACUGUAUCCAGUGAAAGUGGUGAACUGUAUCUUAUACUAGCUCUGUAAAAAUAAAGUCUAGUGUAUCAUUGUGAUGCAAAAAAUGUGAAAAAGAAUAUUAAGAAAGAGUGAUAAAACUAGAUAUUGUUUAAAAAAUGGUUUAUUAAAACAUUACAUUAAAAUCAUUUGUAUCUGACUUUAAAUAGUUAACAUUUCCCCAUAAAACUGUGAAAUCUUAAAUAAUCAUGCGACUUUUAUCAUAUAUACAUUCAAAACACGUUUUUAUACAUAAGAACUUUUUGUUUGCAACAUGAUGACAAAGCAUUCAAUAGUUUUUUCUUUAUCAUUUCUCAGAACAGAAGAACACUUUUUUGCAUGAAUUUGAGCAUAAUGCACUAAAUGCCAGCAGCUUUUGAAGAACAAAAAGGCUGAUUUACAGAGUCAAGAUUAAAAAAUAAACAAAAAACACCAAACCACACAGAUUUAAAGCUUUAUCCUUGCUUUUAAAUGAAAGUGUGUGAGGGUCCUUUGCUGUGGAUUACUAAUUCCAGACUGCCACCUGUUGGACAGAUCUGUCAAACUUUCCCAGCAGCUACUCUAUCAGAAAGUUAACCCACAUUUAGAGUUAUAUAUUUUGUAUUUUAUCACUCCACACUAAUCUUCAUGGUGCAAUAUUGAACAUUUUAAGAUUUAGAAUAUACUUUUAUAAUUAUUUUGUAAGCAUUAUUUGUUUUACUUACCCAGGAAAUACGGAAAACACUGCACUGCAUUGUAUUUUCUGUCAUCUGUAAGCACAAAACAUGAAAUUUAAAAUACUUUAUAUUGUUCUGUACACUUACAAUUACCCUGUAUUAGUUCUGGUGUCACCUAAUAAACCAAAGUUGACUCUUCAGAGCUGAUUUGCUUCUUGAGAUUCUUGGAACCUGGUCAAAAUACGUCCACUCUCCCUCUGAAACAGCAUCUUUCCUUUCCUCGCAAAAUGCAAACUAAUGCAAAAUGAAUAGUUAAAAUUAAAACUGCACAUGCUGAGCUUUUCCAGACUUUUUACAGUCUAUACAUUAAGAUUCAGAUGCUCUAGUUUCUACAAUGUACCAGAUGUUGACUCAGUAUUAGUACUUUAGCAUAAAUCAUGGAAUAAACUCUUAUCCUUAAAUGUCUUAGUUAAAAGUAUCAGAUCACACAUUUUCAAUUAAAAAAUAAAAAAAGAUAGCAUUUUGAGGCUCGUUCUCUGUAUAUUAAGUGACAUACAGCCGGUUGUAAAUCCUGUAAAGGAAUGGUUUACUUUCCAUCUUUUCAUUGGUACUAUGUAAUUAUAAUACGCCCAGCUGUACUCUGUAAUUAUUGCAUGGAUUAACAAGGAUGGACUUGGUUUUUCUUCACUCAUAUAUCAUUGGAAGUUCGUGAAGUCUUUUUAUGUCCCACAACGUCUUCAUUUUAUAUAUUUAUUAUAAAAUGUAUCUUUUCCACAUUGUACACAGGUAUAUACAGAUUUUAAUUGUUAUCAACAACAACAUAAUACUAAUACUAACAAUAAUAAUAAUAAUGAACAUAAUUAUUCUUAUUUUCUCUUCAUUCCUCCAGACUCAGUGAAACACAACUUUUAUUUAAAAAUAAAAUACAGCAUUUACUUUUAUUUCUAUAAAACAAAUUUGGAUCACUGAGCAGUCCAGGCUUCUUAUAUCAUGUAAGAAGCUUCUGGCACUUUCUCUGUUUCAACAGUAUCUUAAAACAAGGAGUGUUUUGAAACAUACCCAUGUUCUGUAUAUUUCUGUGUGUGGUGACUCUGAUAAACAAUCCUCUGUUAAAA
Molecule: long non-coding RNA, 2652 nt
Organism: Xiphophorus maculatus (southern platyfish)
Lineage: Eukaryota; Metazoa; Chordata; Actinopteri; Cyprinodontiformes; Poeciliidae
Exons: 2
Source: RefSeq, a predicted model, not a curated record